CCUACGGGAGGCAGCAGUGGGGAAUAUUGGACAAUGGGGGCAACCCUGAUCCAGCCAUGCCGCGUGUGUGAAGAAGGCCCUCGGGUUGUAAAGCACUUUCAGUGAGGAAGAACGCCUGGUGGUUAAUACCCAUCAGGAAAGACAUCACUCACAGAAGAAGCACCGGCUAACUCCGUGCCAGCAGCCGCGGUAAUACGGAGGGUGCGAGCGUUAAUCGGAAUUACUGGGCGUAAAGCGCGCGUAGGUGGCUUGAUAAGCCGGUUGUGAAAGCCCCGGGCUCAACCUGGGAACGGCAUCCGGAACUGUCAAGCUAGAGUGCAGGAGAGGAAGGUAGAAUUCCCGGUGUAGCGGUGAAAUGCGUAGAGAUCGGGAGGAAUACCAGUGGCGAAGGCGGCCUUCUGGACUGACACUGACACUGAGGUGCGAAAGCGUGGGUAGCAGACAGGAUUAGAUACCCCAGUAGUC
This 465-nucleotide ribosomal RNA is filed under the name Vreelandella stevensii. RNAcentral's name for it is "partial 16S ribosomal RNA". It matches the Rfam family "Bacterial small subunit ribosomal RNA", at positions 338 to 795 of the family's 1533-position model. Lineage: Bacteria; Pseudomonadati; Pseudomonadota; Gammaproteobacteria; Oceanospirillales; Halomonadaceae. The record is from RNAcentral.